CGCCUGUUUAUCAAAAACAUGUCUGUUUGCAAGAAAUACACAGUCUGGCCUGCCCACUGAGUGUUUUAAAGGGCCGCGGUAAUUUGACCGUGCGAAGGUAGCAUAAUCAAUAGUCUUUUAAUUGGGGGCUGGUAUGAAUGGUCGGACAAGAAGUAAUCUGUCUUUUUUGUAGAAAUUGAAUUUAACUUUUAAGUGAAAAGGCUUAAAUAUUCUAAGGGGACGAUAAGACCCUAUAAAACUUUAUAGAGUUUAAAUUAUUUUUAGAAUUUACGUAUAAGUAAAAUUAACUUUCUUUUAUUACGUUGGGGCGACGUGAAUAUAAAUUGUAACUGUUUGGUGGUUAAAAUAAAUAUAUUUAGGGAGGUUGAUCCUUUAUUAUGGAUUAUAAGAAUAAGUUACUUUAGGGAUAACAGCGUAAUUUUUUCUGAGAGUUCUUAUCGACGAAAGUAGUUGCGACCUCGAUGUUGAAUUAAAGUAGCUCCGCGAUGUAGAAGUUGCGGGCGUGGGUCUGUUCGACCUUUAAAACUUUACAUGAUUUGAGUUCAAACCGGUGUGAGCCAGGUUGGUUUCUAUCUA
This 576-nucleotide ribosomal RNA is filed under the name Meningodora sp. HDB-2008. RNAcentral's name for it is "partial 16S ribosomal RNA". It matches the Rfam family "Bacterial large subunit ribosomal RNA", at positions 1797 to 2644 of the family's 2925-position model. Lineage: Eukaryota; Metazoa; Arthropoda; Malacostraca; Decapoda; Oplophoridae. The record is from RNAcentral.